This 254-nucleotide ribosomal RNA is filed under the name uncultured bacterium. RNAcentral describes it as "partial 16S ribosomal RNA". It matches the Rfam family "Bacterial small subunit ribosomal RNA", at positions 524 to 776 of the family's 1533-position model. The record is from RNAcentral.
UACGUAGGGACCAAGCGUUGUUCGGAUUUACUGGGCGUAAAGGGCGCGUAGGCGGCGCGGUAAGUCACUUGUGAAAUCUCUGAGCUUAACUCAGAACGGCCAAGUGAUACUGCAGUGCUAGAGUGCAGAAGGGGCAAUCGGAAUUCUUGGUGUAGCGGUGAAAUGCGUAGAUAUCAAGAGGAACACCUGAGGUGAAGACGGGUUGCUGGGCUGACACUGACGCUGAGUGCGCGAAAGCCAGGGGAGCAAACGGG